GAUCAGCCGUACUCCGAAUGCAUCUCAGAUUAGAGUUUGAUCAUGGCUCAGAAGCGAACGCUGGCGGCAGGCCUAACACAUGCAAGUCGAGCCGGUCGUAGCAAUACGGCAGCGGCCAGACGGGAGAGUAACACGUGGGAACGCGCCCUUCGGUUCGGAAUAACUCAGGGAAACUUGGGCUAAUACCGGAUACGCCCUUACGGGGAAAGAUUUAUUGCCGAAGGAACGGCCCGCGUCCGAUUAGCUUGUUGGUGAGGUAACGGCUCACCAANGCGACGAUCGGUAGCUGGUCUGAGAGGAUGACCAGCCUCACUGGGACUGAGACACGGCCCAGACUUCCUACG
RNAcentral lists this ribosomal RNA (344 nucleotides) under uncultured bacterium. RNAcentral's name for it is "bacterial SSU rRNA". It matches the Rfam family "Bacterial small subunit ribosomal RNA", at positions 1 to 343 of the family's 1533-position model. The record is from RNAcentral.